Molecule: ribosomal RNA, 458 nt
Filed under: uncultured bacterium
Lineage: Bacteria
Description: partial 16S ribosomal RNA
Rfam family: Bacterial small subunit ribosomal RNA
Source: RNAcentral
CCUACGGGAGGCAGCAGUGAGGAAUAUUGGUCAAUGGGCGAGAGCCUGAACCAGCCAAGUCGCGUGAGGGAGUACUGCCCUAUGGGUUGUAAACCUCUUUUGUCGGGGAGUAAACGCCGGACGUGUCCGGCUGUUAUAGUACCCGAAGAAAAAACAUCGGCUAACUCCGUGCCAGCAGCCGCGGUAAUAGGGAGGAUGCGAGGUUUAUCCGGUUUUUGUUGGUUUAAGGGGGCCGCAGGCGGACUUUUUAGUUCGCGUUCAAAUCGUGGGGGUAAACCCCAUCUAGCCGUUGGAACUGGGGGUCUUGAGGGUGCGAGAGGUAGGCGGAAUGCGUGGUGUAGCGGUGAAAUGCAUAGAUAUCACGAAGAACUCCGAUUGCGAAGGCAGCAUACCGGUGCACAACUGACGCUCAGGCACGAAAGCGUGGGUAUCGAACAGGAUUAGAUACCCCUGUAGUC